GAUGAACGCUGGCGGCGUGCCUAAUACAUGCAAGUCGAGCGAACGGACGAGAAGCUUGCUUCUCUGAUGUUAGCGGCGGACGGGUGAGUAACACGUGGAUAACCUACCUAUAAGACUGAGAUAACUUCGGGAAACCGGAGCUAAUACCGGAUAAUAUUUUGAACCGCAUGGUUCAAAAGUGAAAGACGGUCUUGCUGUCACUUAUAGAUGGAUCCGCGCUGCAUUAGCUAGUUGGUAAGGUAACGGCUUACCAAGGCAACGAUGCAUAGCCGACCUGAGAGGGUGGUCGGCCACCCUGGAACUGGGACACGGUCCAGACUCCUACGGGAGGCAGCAGUAGGGAAUCUUACGCAAUGGGCGAAAGCCUGACGGAGCAACGCCGCGUGAGUGAUGAAGGUCUUCGGAUCGUAAAACUCUGUUAUUAGGGAAGAACAUAUGUGUAAGUAACCGUGCACAUCUUGACGGUACCUAAUCAGAAAGCCACGGCUAACUACGUG
RNAcentral lists this ribosomal RNA (497 nucleotides) under uncultured bacterium. RNAcentral's name for it is "partial 16S ribosomal RNA". It matches the Rfam family "Bacterial small subunit ribosomal RNA", at positions 28 to 507 of the family's 1533-position model. The record is from RNAcentral.